CGGCCACCCGGACCGUGCGCACGUCCGCCAGGCCCGCAUCCUCACAGCAGCCACCUGCCGCCCGGGGACCACGACAGCCUCGUGGGCAGACGACCCGGCUGGGGGUCCUGACCCGGGAAGGGACGUGCGGGCGCGGCGGCGCGGGGCCCGGGGUGUGCCGGCGUGGCCCCAGGCUGCACCCCAUGCACGGCUUACCGGACGCGAGCCGCGCCUGCCCAGGAGCCCGCUGCCCCCUCCGCUCUGCGGCUGAGACCACCCGCCCCUCCCUCCAAACCAGCGUCACGUGGUCCCGUUUCCCAGAGCCGCCUGCACGCACAGGAAAGCAACUGUCUUUCUCAGCAUAGAACCAGUAAAAUUGCUGGGACCCUGGAGGGGACUCGAUCAGCUCAGUAUUUGUACUUGUUAAUUUGGUCAAGUUCUCUAGUCCUUAAGGCAACUGAUAUUUUCUAGUAAGUAAUCUGAUAUCUGAUGUCUUUCUAGGAAUGAAUCCAUGCCAUUUAAAUUUUUGAUUACUAGCAUAUUUAUGCUUAUAUCUUUUUUUAAAACAAGGUCUGAUUAUGUAGCACAGGCUGGCCUCAAACUGCGAUCCUCCUGCCUCAGCCUCCCGAGUGCUGAGAUUACAGGUGUGCACCGAUAUGCUUGGCCUAUGCUUAUGUUUAUUGUUUUGCACUUACUUCCUUUUGUUCUGUAUUUUAUUUGCAUUUUUAGUAUACUUUUAAAUAUUUUCAGAGGUCCAAUUUUUAGUUUUGUUAAUCUUCUCAUCUUUCCUUUUAUUUCAUGUAUUUCUGUCCUCAUCUAUUAUUUCCUUCCUUUAGCUUCCUUGAAUUUGAUCUUUGGCUCUGCCUUCAGCUAUGUGCUUAUCUCCCUUUAAAUUUUUCAGUUUUUGGAGGCACCUCUUAAAGCUACAAAAGUCCUUCUAUAGCACCGCCUUCAAUGGGCCUCACAGAUUUGUCUAGAAUGUUUUCAUUAUCACCCAGAUCUACCUCUUACUGUCCUGCACGAUCUCCCUGGAAACCCAUGGGUUAUUUAGUAACAUCAUUUACUUCUCAGUAGUAUUUAUUGUAACCUUUGGUUUCUAAUUUAGUGGCAUUAUUUUCAGAGACAAAGUGUACUCAGUCAAGAUGCUGGCAGGAGGCAGUUGGCACUCAAACUGGGUAAUCUGAGUGUUUGACAGAGAGACCAUUAACACAGGUGUGGGCAGGAGGUCAGAGUCCCAGGGCCUGGCGGCUUCCAGCAGCCUUCAGCCUACAGGGGAGGAGGUACAGCCCUGAAGGGAGAGGACAGCACCCCACUGCCUCCCCUGAGCUGAAUGUGAAGGGGAGCUGGAGCAGGAGCUCCUUGCAGCACAGUGCACUUAGGGCUCUCCCAAACAACGGGCAAAGGAACCACAUGCACAAACAAGCGGGAGUCCGUGUCUGUGUGGGGCUGCAGCUCUGGGACCCAAGGCCUCCUUGGGUCCUAAUAUGGGGUUCAUCUCUAUGAAUGCUCUAUCUGUGCACCAAACAGUAUCUUUGCUGUGUGGUGAGGACAGUUUUGUAUAUAUUUACUAGUUCAAGAUUACUAAUUAUAUUGAUCAAGGGUUGAGGAUCUUUGCUAAGUUUUGUCAGCUUGAGCUGUUAAUUUUAUUUUAAUGAAAACCUGGGGGCAGGGCAUUUAGCUCAGUGGUUCCAGCGCCUGCCUCAAAAGCGCAAGGUCCCAAGUUCAAUCCCCGAUACCAAAAAAAAACCCCUGAAUUAUAAGCUAAAGAUGUAGCUCAGAUUUAGAGCUUUUCUAGCAUGCACAAACCCUGAUGUGAUCCCCAGCACCACACACACACUCACACGCACACUCACACGAUCUCCAGUUACAAUUGGAGGAUUGUACUUCUCCCCGGCCCUGCAGAUGUUGCUGGGUAUGUAUCGAGAGCCAAUCUCUUAGACGUUUAAGUGGGUUUGAUGGAUGUACAGUGCCAUUCUGUGGCUCCUUUCAUCAAUAGGCAUGUGUGUCCUUCUUUGUCUAUUGUUUUGGGAUGUGAAACAAUUUCUUUUUGCUUUAGAUUUGAGUGUUGUAUAUUAAGAUGUCGGCCUCGUUUCCUGUCGUUCAUAUUUGCCUGGUAAGUCUUUGGCUAACUUUUUCAUAUUAAAUUUCUUAGAUCUUUUUUAAAGUGUAUCUUUUAAAGUAACUCACUGUUGGAAUGUUUAAGUCUAUAGUUUCUACCUAUAAGUGGAACUUAAUCCACUUACAUUUAGAGGAAUUACUUUAAUUACAGCAAUUAUUGACACCUAUUUAUUAUUGACACCUAUUUUGUCAUCUUAUUUAAAACUUCUGCUUAAUAUUGUCCAUAUUUCUCACUAAACAUUUGAGUUGUCUUCUACUGGUCUAUGCUUAUUUUUAUUCUCCAGCAAUUGCCUUGAAUUUAAGACUCUUUUUUGUCUACCUGAUACAUUAGCUUCGUGUUAUUCUAAAGAAACAUCCAAGGCAAUAACUUAGGCGGAGAAAAGGUUUGUUUUGGCUCACAGUUCUGGAGGUUCCAUUGCAAGGCCCGUAGCCUCAGGCUUUGCGCCUCUGUUGUGGGCAGGACAGUUUCCAAGCAUAUGUGAGCAAACCACUGCAUGACAAGGCAGGACGCAAAUAGAAAGGCUGAGGCACUGUGUCCCGCAGCCCACUUCCAGGCAGGCUUCUAAGUGACCUAAGGACCUGUCACCAGGCCCUGCCUUCCGAAGGUCCACGGCACCUCCCAACAGCACCCCAGACAGGUCCCCUGACACAUGGCGCCUAGAGGAUCUCCAGGCGCGUGCUAGAGCACCUCUUGAGCUGACGUGGGCGUGCCUGAGCCUUCCCUCGUGGCCCUGCAGCUUGCACCCAGCACCUCCCCUUAUGCCUUCUAACUCUGCCUUCUGGCCAGCGGGGACGGGAUUCAGGGCUGUCGCCAUCCUCUCCGUGGCCCUCGGCCUGGGUCCCACCCCUUCUUUGGGACACGCAUGGGGCUUCACUGCAGCCGUGUGAGUCCUGGUCUUCAGCAGGUCCCCUUGGGUCACGCCUCCGAUGUGCUGUGGAAGCGUGCUCACCUGAGAGCCACGCUCCUCACUCCCCUGUGGACCCCAAACAACCAAGUGGGGGGCUCACUUUGCACGAAGCCUGCCACAGCAGCUGUAGGGCUGUGGCUCCAAACGCAAGCCCCACUGACCACCAGCCCCAGCUGCUGCCCUUGGGAUCCCCCUUGGUAUUAAAGCAUGGCCACCUCCUCCUGGCCACUCCCAGUCAAAGGUGGGGUGCAGCAGGGUCCUCGUGCUGACCUUUCCCGCCCACUGCCAACUCCUCUGCUGGACAGUGCCAUCAGGACCUGAAACAGCCUGGCCAGGACCUCUGGGAAAGGGACCCUGGCCUGGGACCAUCCACCCCGGCCUCCUCCAGCAUCUGUCUCCAUGCGCUGCCUCCUGUCAAUCAUAGGCACAACCCCCACCUCAGCCCAUCUCAGCCUCCGCUUCUCAGAGGGCUGCUCACGCUCACCCUGGGAACGUGUCUCUCUCCAUGUCCUCAGGGGCCCAAGGCAGGACAAAGGCACAGGUCCAGGACACAGAGCGGCCUCCAGGGCUCGAGGACCCUGCUCCCCUCUGUCCCAAGGCCUCUCUUGCUCUGCACUUGCUGUGUGGGGUGUUUCUGAUUUGCUAUUUGAUGUCAUUCUUAGUAAAGAAAAAUUAAAAUUUUGACAUUGCUAGCAUGAGUUUUACCCUUCAUUUUUAAAGUGUAGAGUGCCAUUGUAGAUGCACAGAUAAGAGCAGAAACAUGGAGAUUCCAC
This is a long non-coding RNA of Heterocephalus glaber (naked mole-rat), 3778 nucleotides long. The record is from Ensembl. NCBI's taxonomy places the organism in Eukaryota, Metazoa, Chordata, Mammalia, Rodentia, Bathyergidae.